AUAGUAACAUUUACUAAUAAGCAAGGAAACUGUAACUCAUUUUUUUCUGUUAUGCCACUUAAUACUGCUAUGAGAAUAGUUGCCAAAUUAGAGGUCUUACCAAGCUAGGUAUUGUAUAAACAAGAGAAUCGUAAGAAGUUGAAGGGAAGAAUAUAAGAAAAUAAAUGCAAAACAAACUAGCAGCCACCAACCGACACAACAAACCCAACUCAAAUUUAAAAACUUAAAAUACAACUGAUGAAGAAAAAAUACUUUUCUACUAACUUAGAAAUGUCAAAAAUAGUUUGUCCCUGUGGAGUAGUAACACAUUUAACUGGGAUUUUUGAGAUUGUUUUAAUGGAAUAGAGAUCCAGGAUGAAGCUGACAUGUUUCCUAACACAAUUUGUCAAAUACAUCAUAUUCUAAUUACUCUAGGAUGUCCGUGGAUGGAGCACUGAAAUAAACCUUGACUGAAAGCUUGCAGACCCUCAGGCACCACCUGAGACACACUGAAUCAUGGGAUUUGCAGGCACAUCUAUGUUUGUAUGAACAAUAUAGUUUCCUUAAAAAAAUAAGGCAUUCUAACUUUUAUCAGAGAUGAUAUAUUAUCAAAAGUAAACUCUUUACCUUAAUAUGCCACUCAUAGGCAUAUGAUUCGCAACAUUCUUUCUGUCUUUUAUGUUACUUUGCCCCUUCUUUAGUUACUAAAUUUGAUUCUACACAUACAGCCUUGGUUCCCCAUUCUUUCUUCCUGCUAGCCAUUCUGGACUCUGGCCAGAUUUGAUUGUUCUCUUGUUUAUGUUACCAUGGAACUUAGUUUAUGUAGCUCUAGCAAUGUGAUUGCAUUGGAUUAUAAUUUUUUGUGUCUUCAUCUCCCACAAAAAGAAGCCAUUCUUCCUAUCUUCUUCCUAAGUGAGGGAUGUAUACUUCCAUUCUUCUUGAAUAUCUACCCAGAAGUAGAACCUCUGAGUUAAAUGAUAUGCAAUACCAAGAGUGAACAACAAGAGCAACACUAAGAGUGAUAGUGAUGUAUCGAUGUGGGUUAUAAUGAAGAUAACCAUUUUGG
RNAcentral lists this long non-coding RNA (1045 nucleotides) under Callithrix jacchus (white-tufted-ear marmoset). RNAcentral describes it as "lncRNA (ENSCJAG00000077232.1)". Lineage: Eukaryota; Metazoa; Chordata; Mammalia; Primates; Cebidae. The record is from RNAcentral.